AGUCGAACGAUGAUGCCCAGCUUGCUGGGUGGAUUAGUGGCGAACGGGUGAGUAACACGUGAGUAACCUGCCCUUGACUCUGGGAUAAGCCUGGGAAACUGGGUCUAAUACCGGAUAUGACCGUCCCGCGCAUGCGGUGGUGGUGGAAAGCUUUUGCGGUUUUGGAUGGACUCGCGGCCUAUCAGCUUGUUGGUGGGGUAAUGGCCUACCAAGGCGAUGACGGGUAGCCGGCCUGAGAGGGUGACCGGCCACACUGGGACUGAGACACGGCCCAGACUCCUACGGGAGGCAGCAGUGGGGAAUAUUGCACAAUGGGCGCAAGCCUGAUGCAGCGACGCCGCGUGAGGGAUGACGGCCUUCGGGUUGUAAACCUCUUUCAGUAGGGAAGAAGCGGAAGUGACGGUACCUGCAGAAGAAGCGCCGGCUAACUACGUGCCAGCAGCCGCGGUAAUACGUAGGGCGCAAGCGUUAUCCGGAAUUAUUGGGCGUAAAGAGCUCGUAGGCGGUUUGUCGCGUCUGCUGUGAAAGACCGGGGCUCAACUCCGGUUCUGCAGUGGGUACGGGCAGACUAGAGUGAUGUAGGGGAGACUGGAAUUCCUGGUGUAGCGGUGAAAUGCGCAGAUAUCAGGAGGAACACCGAUGGCGAAGGCAGGUCUCUGGGCAUUAACUGACGCUGAGGAGCGAAAGCAUGGGGAGCGAACAGGAUUAGAUACCCUGGUAGUCCAUGCCGUAAACGUUGGGCACUAGGUGUGGGGGACAUUCCACGUUUUCCGCGCCGUAGCUAACGCAUUAAGUGCCCCGCCUGGGGAGUACGGCCGCAAGGCUAAAACUCAAAGGAAUUGACGGGGGCCCGCACAAGCGGCGGAGCAUGCGGAUUAAUUCGAUGCAACGCGAAGAACCUUACCAAGGCUUGACAUGGGCUAGUAAAGCGCAGAGAUGCGUUCCCCCCUUUUUGGGGCUGGUUCACAGGUGGUGCAUGGUUGUCGUCAGCUCGUGUCGUGAGAUGUUGGGUUAAGUCCCGCAACGAGCGCAACCCUCGUUCUAUGUUGCCAGC
This 1054-nucleotide ribosomal RNA is filed under the name Arthrobacter sp. Its description in RNAcentral is "bacterial SSU rRNA". It matches the Rfam family "Bacterial small subunit ribosomal RNA", at positions 60 to 1122 of the family's 1533-position model. Lineage: Bacteria; Bacillati; Actinomycetota; Actinomycetes; Micrococcales; Micrococcaceae. The record is from RNAcentral.